AGUGAACGCUGGCGGUAGGCCUAACACAUGCAAGUCGAACGGCAGCACAGUAAGAGCUUGCUCUUACGGGUGGCGAGUGGCGGACGGGUGAGGAAUACAUCGGAAUCUACUUUUUCGUGGGGGAUAACGUAGGGAAACUUACGCUAAUACCGCAUACGCCCUACGGGUGAAAGCAGGGGAUCUUCGGACCUUGCGCGGUUGAAUGAGCCGAUGUCGGAUUAGCUAGUUGGCGGGGUAAAGGCCCACCAAGGCGACGAUCCGUAGCUGGUCUGAGAGGAUGAUCAGCCGCACUGGAACUGAGACACGGUCCAGACUCCUACGGGAGGCAGCAGGGGGGAAUAUUGGACAAUGGGCGCAAGCCUGAGCCAGCCGUACCGCGUGGGUGAAGAAGGCCGUCGGGUUGUAAAGCCCUUUUGUUGGGAAAGAAAAGCAGCAGGUUAAUACCGCGGUGUUCUGACGGUACCCAAAGAAUAAGCACCGGCUAACUUCGUG
Molecule: ribosomal RNA, 492 nt
Filed under: uncultured bacterium
Lineage: Bacteria
Description: partial 16S ribosomal RNA
Rfam family: Bacterial small subunit ribosomal RNA
Source: RNAcentral